GGCUCGGUCGGGCUGUCCGCCUCCGGGUGAGUACGGCUUGGCUGGGUCUUUCCUUCUGGGGAAUCAGCGUGCUCUUCAUUGAGUGCGCUGGGGAUCCAGAACUUUUACUUUGAAAAAAUUAGAGUGUUUAAAGCAGGCUUUUGCUUGAAUACAUUAGCAUGGAAUAAUAGAAUAGGACUU
This 180-nucleotide ribosomal RNA is filed under the name uncultured Glomeromycotina. RNAcentral describes it as "partial small subunit ribosomal RNA". The stretch from base 89 to 180 matches the Rfam family "Eukaryotic small subunit ribosomal RNA", at positions 736 to 830 of the family's 1831-position model. The record is from RNAcentral. Lineage: Eukaryota; Fungi; Glomeromycota.